RNAcentral lists this ribosomal RNA (966 nucleotides) under Salmonella enterica subsp. enterica serovar Typhimurium. RNAcentral describes it as "partial 23S ribosomal RNA". It matches the Rfam family "Bacterial large subunit ribosomal RNA", at positions 711 to 1591 of the family's 2925-position model. Lineage: Bacteria; Pseudomonadati; Pseudomonadota; Gammaproteobacteria; Enterobacterales; Enterobacteriaceae. The record is from RNAcentral. RNAcentral also lists the same sequence under 1 other name.
AGACCCGAAACCCGGUGAUCUAGCCAUGGGCAGGUUGAAGGUUGGGUAACACUAACUGGAGGACCGAACCGACUAAUGUUGAAAAAUUAGCGGAUGACCUGUGGCUGGGGGUGAAAGGCCAAUCAAACCGGGAGAUAGCUGGUUCUCCCCGAAAGCUAUUUAGGUAGCGCCUCGUGAAUUCAUCUCCGGGGGUAGAGCACUGUUUCGGCUAGGGGGCCAUCCCGGCUUACCAACCCGAUGCAAACUGCGAAUACCGGAGAAUGUUAUCACGGGAGACACACGGCGGGUGCUAACGUCCGUCGUGAAGAGGGAAACAACCCAGACCGCCAGCUAAGGUCCCAAAGUCAUGGUUAAGUGGGAAACGAUGUGGGAAGGCCCAGACAGCCAGGAUGUUGGCUUAGAAGCAGCCAUCAUUUAAAGAAAGCGUAAUAGCUCACUGGUCGAGUCGGCCUGCGCGGAAGAUGUAACGGGGCUAAACCAUGCACCGAAGCUGCGGCAGCGAACGUAUCACCCAAGACAACUUUACGGAGUUGACGAUUGACGGAGCGAAGCGACGUCAAAGCGUUCAUUAAAGUCGAGUUGGCUUAGGGAUACGUUCGUUGGGUAGGGGAGCGUUCUGUAAGCCUGUGAAGGUGUGUCGUGAGGCAUGCUGGAGGUAUCAGAAGUGCGAAUGCUGACAUAAGUAACGAUAAAGCGGGUGAAAAGCCCGCUCGCCGGAAGACCAAGGGUUCCUGUCCAACGUUAAUCGGGGCAGGGUGAGUCGACCCCUAAGGCGAGGCCGAAAGGCGUAGUCGAUGGGAAACGGGUUAAUAUUCCCGUACUUGGUGUUACUGCGAAGGGGGGACGGAGAAGGCUAUGUUGGCCGGGCGACGGUUGUCCCGGUUUAAGCGUGUAGGUGUGUGUUCCAGGUAAAUCCGGUUCACUUUAACACUGAGGCGUGAUGACGAGGCACUACGGUGCUGAAGC